CAGUCGCCGCGGUAAUACGAAGGGUGCAAGCGUUAAUCGGAAUUACUGGGCGUAAAGCGUGCGUAGGCGGUUUGUUAAGUCUGUUGUGAAAUCCCCGGGCUCAACCUGGGAAUGGCAAUGGAUACUGGCAAGCUAGAGUGUGUCAGAGGAUGGUGGAAUUCCCGGUGUAGCGGUGAAAUGCGUAGAGAUCGGGAGGAACAUCAGUGGCGAAGGCGGCCAUCUGGGACAACACUGACGCUGAGGCACGAAAGCGUGGGGAGCAAACAGGAUUAGAGACCCCUGUAGUCCCUGUCUCUUAUAC
RNAcentral lists this ribosomal RNA (301 nucleotides) under uncultured bacterium. RNAcentral describes it as "partial 16S ribosomal RNA". It matches the Rfam family "Bacterial small subunit ribosomal RNA", at positions 509 to 807 of the family's 1533-position model. The record is from RNAcentral.